GGCACUCCAGCAUUCCGAUUCAUGCCUAAUCGAUCGAGCUAGGCGUCUGGCCGACUUGCAACCGCCUAGGCGGUCCUAGGCGGACCUGGGCGGUUCUAGCUGGGCGCCGAUUAGGCGUUCUGAAAAUGAUUUUUUUUUUCUUUAGUUAAGGGCUUAAGGCUGAGGUUAAAACGAAAUCGCCGAAAGUUAAUUCCCAAAUCGUGAAACUGCUGCAGCCAUCGAAGCAGGUUCUCCCGCCGGUCGCCAUCGCCAUCGCCACUCCAUCAGUCCAUCGUCAUCGCCUUUCUUCAAGUCUUCAGUGAGUUCAGUCAUCGACUCGUCGCCGUCACCUCUCUUCAAGUCGCCGUUGACUCAUCGCCAUAGCAGUUUGGGUUCAAAGUUUAAAACGACGAAGUCGCCGCUCUCUGGCUCUGUUUUGCCCCCUCUGGCACUCCUCUGUCCUCUGACUCCUCUCUAGCUCCAGCUCCAGCCUCGCCUUCGUCCGAUUGAGAAGUCUUCAAUUUAUGGUAUCGAGCUCGUCAGUCUCACCUUCAAAUCUUCAACUGGUUGCCUUCGAGUUCUUGGUGCGAUUCAGAAAUUGAACUAGAGCUCCCUCAGAGAAAACACACUGCACAAAAACCUGGGAAGCAAGCUUUGCAGAUGCAGAUGCAGAUGCGAACAAAAACAAUGGGCAUAUAUUCUCAAUUCCCUCUCCUGUAGAACCUAUUGCACAUUAAAAAGCCUUCUCAAUUUCAACAAAAUCAACAACGAAUUAGCUAGAUAUCUAGAAAAUUAAAGGAAAAUUCAUUAAGAUAAGAAGCUAUGCAGUUGGAGUCGUUGUAAAUUUGAGCAAAGAGUUAUUUAUGGUUGAUUUAAUGAAAAUGGGAUGGUGUUGGUACCCAGCGGUUCCUGAACGGUUACCGAACGUGGGUGAAAUUGCUUGGAUGUGGUGGUGUUGGAGGCAAGAGUUCUUUGAGUGGUUUUUUUUUAUUUUAUUUUAGUUUUCUAUUUUUUCUUCUAUUUUGUGUUUUACAUUUGUAC
Molecule: long non-coding RNA, 1020 nt
Organism: Rosa rugosa (rugosa rose)
Lineage: Eukaryota; Viridiplantae; Streptophyta; Magnoliopsida; Rosales; Rosaceae
Exons: 3
Source: RefSeq, a predicted model, not a curated record